AUUUCUUAUUUCUCUUCUCGCCGAAACCGAGCGCCCGAGCCCAUUUCUCCCCGACGCCGUCGCGCCCACUCUCUGCCCUAACCGUCGGCCGGCGGUUCCCCCUCUCCGAGAGCACAAAACGUCGGCCACUUCUUCUUCCUCUCCUCCUCUCCUCUGCCGGAGCCCUAGCACCGCCGCCCGACCGCCUGCCCGAGCCAAACUCCUCUUCUCUGCUUGCCCUAGCCACCCGACGCCGGUGCCCCUGCCGUCGGUGACGCCCAGAGCAGCGCCGGUCAUCUUUCUCCUUUCUCCCAAGUCCGACUUCAUCUGUGCCCUAGUACAUCUGCCGGCCAAUUUCUCCUUUGUUCUAGUAUCGGCGAUUGUACCUCCUUCCCUCUCUUGGCGGACGACUAGAGUCGUCGUAAAACAGGAGCUUAAGAAGGAGGCUGAGGGAAACAGUAGUCCGGCAAUGGGAUUGAAGCUUCGGACAUAACUUCCAGCAGCAAGAUCUGUGGUUGUGAGUUGGCAGGAAGAUACUUAGAGUGAGUGAAGAAUUUCAGCAGCCAACAACCCUUGACGGCAGUAACUUCAGCCAACAACUUUUGGAUUUCAGUAUAAACCAGUGGCUUUGAAUCAAGGUAAGAAGUAGAGUAAUGGUUACGUGUUGAUGAGUUGGAUUCAUGUAUUGGAUUAGGAAAAUAUUGGAUUAAUUCAUGUUUAGGUAUAAUCUUGAUACCUAUCGAUAAUUUAUUCAUCAUUAGGUUGUGUAGAAUAAUUAUGUUAUAUGGAUUUAGGUUUUUGGAUUUUUAUCAAAAAGGUUGUUUGGGGUUAAGGUAAUUAAUCCUAAUUAAUCGUUAGAAAGGUCGAAGGAAAUGGUUUAGGGUUUAUCCCUAAAUUUCUAUUUAGGAUUUAUUUAGCUGUUUAUUUGUAUUCUAGUUAAAUAAAAGUAAAGGUAUUUUUGGUAUUUCAGGACUUUGACGCGAGACGAGUA
Molecule: long non-coding RNA, 970 nt
Organism: Zingiber officinale
Lineage: Eukaryota; Viridiplantae; Streptophyta; Magnoliopsida; Zingiberales; Zingiberaceae
Exons: 3
Source: RefSeq, a predicted model, not a curated record